AACCCAUGGUGAGAGCACCUUCUUAAUAAGUCAUUAUACCUCUCUCAAGCAUCGUAUAAAGUUUCUAAAUCCAUCUACACAAAGGAAGAGAUAUCGUUCCUCAAUUU
Molecule: small nucleolar RNA, 107 nt
Filed under: Gossypium arboreum
Lineage: Eukaryota; Viridiplantae; Streptophyta; Magnoliopsida; Malvales; Malvaceae
Description: Plant small nucleolar RNA R71
Rfam family: Plant small nucleolar RNA R71
About the family: R71 is a member of the C/D box family of snoRNAs containing the C (UGAUGA) and D (CUGA) box motifs.
Source: Rfam by way of RNAcentral